Molecule: long non-coding RNA, 739 nt
Organism: Lolium rigidum
Lineage: Eukaryota; Viridiplantae; Streptophyta; Magnoliopsida; Poales; Poaceae
Exons: 3
Source: RefSeq, a predicted model, not a curated record
CGGGGUAAAAUAAGCUUUCUUGCACUUUACUUGGAAACAACUCUGGUAAAUGUUUAGGACUUAAUUUGUACAUUUAACACAACAAAAUCAUCAUUAGCCAUCAUAGUUGUUGUCUUUGGUCAAUUUUUAGCUAUACUUAACUAUUGCCCUUGUUCCAAAUUAACUGACGCAGCUUUGGUCAGAUUUGGUCUAGAUACACUUGUAUUGUAUCUAGAAAAAAGCUGUGCCACUUAAUUUGGAAUGGAUGGAGUAAUUAGUAACUAAGUUAAUCAACUUCCUAUGCUUGAUAGGAGUAUGGUUGGUUUCAUAGGGUAAGUGGUCUCCCAUGUCUCAUCCGACAGAAGCAUGUUUCCCUUGUGGUCAGAUGCUCUUGGCUCUUCUUGAUAACUCUUGUAUAAUCUAACGAUCUCUAUACCAAUGAGGUGUUUUGCAUGCUAGCCAGGUCAUGGCCACCAUGGUGCAUGCAGAAUUGGAGAGACGGAAUGGAGUAGUGACUGUUGCUAUGCUGUUGUUGCUAAGAAGAUGGAUGAGUUUUUCCUGGCAUACAUGCUAAGACAUCUCAAGAUGGGGAUUAUGCCUUCGAACGAUGAUGUUAAUGGUGAUCAUUUUGUCUGGCGCUGCUGUAUGUUUUCUUUACCAAAUGGACGGGAUUUCCGCGUACAUCUCAAGGAUUCAGUGAUAUGGAUGAUGUUUUGGCAAGCAGCAAUCACAUACUUGUGAACAUACACGUCAACAUCAA